Molecule: ribosomal RNA, 468 nt
Filed under: uncultured bacterium
Lineage: Bacteria
Description: partial 16S ribosomal RNA
Rfam family: Bacterial small subunit ribosomal RNA (bases 52-468)
Source: RNAcentral
GGGGGGGGGGGGGGGGGGGGGGGGGGGGGGGGGGGGGGGGGGGGGGGGGGGGCGGGGGGGGGGGGCUCGAGGGGGGAACGGGUGGGGGGCGCGGGAGUAACCUGCCCUUGGCGGGGGGAGAACUUCGGGGAACUGGGGCUAAUACCGGAUAGGAGCUCCUGCUGCGUGGUGGGGGUUGGAAAGGUUCGGCGGUUGGGGAUGGACUCGCGGCUUAUCAGAUUGUUGGUGGGGUAGUGGCUUACCAAGGCUUUGACGGGUAGCCGGCCUGAGAGGGUGACCAGCCACAUUGGGACUGAGAUACGGCCCAGACUCCUACGGGAGGCAGCAGUGGGGAAUAUUGCACAAUGGGCGGAAGCCUGAUGCAGCAACGCCGCGUGCGGGAUGACGGCCUUCGGGUUGUAAACCGCUUUCGCCUGUGACGAAGCGUGAGUGACGGUAAUGGGUAAAGAAGCACCGGCUAACUACGUG